Molecule: unclassified non-coding RNA, 187 nt
Filed under: uncultured Capronia
Lineage: Eukaryota; Fungi; Ascomycota; Eurotiomycetes; Chaetothyriales; Herpotrichiellaceae
Description: sequence contains ITS1
Source: RNAcentral
UCGAGUUAGGGUCUUCUAAGCCCGACCUCCAACCCUUUGUCUAUCUUACCACUUGUUGCUUCGGCGAGCCCGCCCUUUGAAAUACAGGGGCCGCCGGGGGUUCAUACCCUUGGUCCGCGCUCGUCGAUAGCCAUUAUUAAACUCUUGUUUAACUGUGUCGUCUAAGUAAAAAGCACUUAAUUAAAUA